Molecule: ribosomal RNA, 450 nt
Filed under: uncultured bacterium
Lineage: Bacteria
Description: partial 16S ribosomal RNA
Rfam family: Bacterial small subunit ribosomal RNA
Source: RNAcentral
GUUAGGAAUAUUGGACAAUGGACGCAAGUCUGAUCCAGCCAUGCCGCGUGAGUGAUGAAGGUCUUCGGAUUGUAAAGCACUUUAAGUUGGGAGGAAGGGUAGUAACCUAAUACGUUGCUACUUUGACGUUACCGACAGAAUAAGCACCGGCUAACUUCGUGCCAGCAGCCGCGGUAAUACGAAGGGUGCAAGCGUUAAUCGGAAUUACUGGGCGUAAAGCGCGCGUAGGUGGUUCAGUAAGUUGGAAGUGAAAUCCCCGGGCUCAACCUGGGAACUGCUUUCAAAACUGCUGAGCUAGAGUACGGUAGAGGGUGGUGGAAUUUCCUGUGUAGCGGUGAAAUGCGUAGAUAUAGGAAGGAACACCAGUGGCGAAGGCGACCACCUGGACUGAUACUGACACUGAGGUGCGAAAGCGUGGGGAGCAAACAGGAUUAGAAACCCGGGUAGUCC